RNAcentral lists this ribosomal RNA (253 nucleotides) under uncultured bacterium. RNAcentral describes it as "partial 16S ribosomal RNA". It matches the Rfam family "Bacterial small subunit ribosomal RNA", at positions 524 to 776 of the family's 1533-position model. The record is from RNAcentral.
UACGUAGGUGGCAAGCGUUGUCCGGAAUUAUUGGGCGUAAAGAGCGCGCAGGCGGCUGGUCAAGUCCGAUGUGAAAGCUCCCGGCUUAACUGGGAAAUUGCAUCGGAAACUGAUCGGCUGGAAGGUGGGAGAGGGUAGCGGAAUUCCCGGUGUAGUGGUGAAAUGCGUAGAUAUCGGGAGGAACACCAGUGGCGAAAGCGGCUACCUGGCCCAUUCUUGACGCUGAGGCGCGAAAGCUAGGGGAGCAAACGGG